CGUUCAUGCCCUCCAGCAUGUAGUAAAGGGUUAGGGCUGGGAGUUGAGGUGCUUAUUAGGGGAAUAGCAAGUGCAAAGGUCCUGGGGUAUCCAAAGCUUGGCCCUUUAUACCAGAGAGUAGUCUUACGUAUCUGGAGUUUGGUGAGUAGAUGGAGAAUGGGAGCAGAUGGGGAGAGGUGGCAGGGCCUAAGCCUUGGAGACCAGGACAAGAAACUUUGAUUUCACGCUAAGUGUAAUGGGAAGCCACUUAAGGGUUUUAGCCACAGACUAGCAUGAUCUGAUUUAGAGUUUAGAUCUUAAAAAGGCCACUUUGCUGCCAUAUAGAGGAUGGAUUGUAGGAUUGUGUGAGACGAUCAAUACACAAAAGCACUUAACAUUGGGUCUGGAACAAAGUAAGUGUCUUAAUAAGUGGUAACUGUUUUUCAUUAUUAUCAUCGUUAUCCUUAUUAUUACUACUACUCUUUUGUCUGCCUAGAGCUGGCUCACAAUUCUUGGACAUUUGACUUCAUGUAAAAUUGACAAAGCAUUCCAAUGAGCCCAUGAAUUUUUCAGAUUUGUUUUCCAGGUGUUUUCACAUCCUCAGAGGGAUGAUGGUUGAAAGCAAAACUCAAGCUGAUACCUGCAGCAGAAAAAAACAAACCAGUGGACACAUUCCUGAAUCCAUGAUUCUUUCAUCCUUCAGGGGCUCCCGACCCGUGCAAUUCGAAUCAUCUCUGAUUUAUAGAGGAGGAAACCGAAGCUCAGAAAAAGUAAGUUACUUGUCCAGGAGCAGUUAUCUGGGAUCUGAAUUUGGGUCAGCCUGUCUUCAGAGUCCAAGCCCUUAACCUCUUCAUGACUAUA
RNAcentral lists this long non-coding RNA (840 nucleotides) under Vulpes vulpes (red fox). Its description in RNAcentral is "lncRNA (ENSVVUG00000012881.1)". Lineage: Eukaryota; Metazoa; Chordata; Mammalia; Carnivora; Canidae. The record is from RNAcentral.